GCUCAGGAUGAACGCUAGCUACAGGCUUAACACAUGCAAGUCGAGGGGCAGCAUGGUCUUAGCUUGCUAAGGCCGAUGGCGACCGGCGCACGGGUGAGUAACACGUAUCCAACCUGCCGUCUACUCUUGGACAGCCUUCUGAAAGGAAGAUUAAUACAAGAUGGCAUCAUGAGUCCGCAUGUUCACAUGAUUAAAGGUAUUCCGGUAGACGAUGGGGAUGCGUUCCAUUAGGUUGUUGGUGAGGUAACGGCCCACCAAGCCUUCGAUGGAUAGGGGUUCUGAGAGGAAGGUCCCCCACAUUGGAACUGAGACACGGUCCAAACUCCUACGGGAGGCAGCAGUGAGGAAUAUUGGUCAAUGGGCGCUAGCCUGAACCAGCCAAGUAGCGUGAAGGAUGAAGGCUCUAUGGGUCGUAAACUUCUUUUAUAUAAGAAUAAAGUGCAGUAUGUAUACUGUUUUGUAUGUAUUAUAUGAAUAAGGAUCGGCUAACUCCGUGCCAGCAGCCGCGGUAAUACGGAGGAUCCGAGCGUUAUCCGGAUUUAUUGGGUUUAAAGGGAGCGUAGGUGGACUGGUAAGUCAGUUGUGAAAGUUUGCGGUUCAACCGUAAAAUUGCAGUUGAUACUGUCAGUCUUGAGUACAGUAGAGGUGGGCGGAAUUCGUGGUGUAGCGGUGAAAUGCUUAGAUAUCACGAAGAACUCCGAUUGCGAAGGCAGCUCACUGGACUGCAACUGACACUGAUGCUCGAAAGUGUGGGUAUCAAACAGGAUUAGAUACCCUGGUAGUCCACACAAUAAACGAUGAAUACUCGCUGUUUGCGAUAUACAGUAAGCGGCCAAGCGAAAGCAUUAAGUAUUCCACCUGGGGAGUACGCCGGCAACGGUGAAACUCAAAUGAAUUGACG
This 901-nucleotide ribosomal RNA is filed under the name uncultured bacterium. RNAcentral describes it as "bacterial SSU rRNA". It matches the Rfam family "Bacterial small subunit ribosomal RNA", at positions 22 to 915 of the family's 1533-position model. The record is from RNAcentral.